UAGAGGUAGAGAACCAGGGAAGGAGAGC
Molecule: non-coding RNA, 28 nt
Filed under: Rattus norvegicus (Norway rat)
Lineage: Eukaryota; Metazoa; Chordata; Mammalia; Rodentia; Muridae
Source: RNAcentral